CGGGACGGGGGAGUAAUGCUUGGGAAUCUAGCUUAUGGAGGGGGGUAACUACGGGAAACUGUAGCUAAUACCGCGUAAUAUCGAAAGAUUAAAGUGUGGGACCUUCGGGCCACAUGCCAUAGGAUGAGCCCAAGUGGGAUUAGGUAGUUGGUGAGGUAAAGGCUCACCAAGCCGACGAUCUCUAGCUGGUCUGAGAGGAUGACCAGCCACACUGGGACUGAGACACGGCCCAG
Molecule: ribosomal RNA, 233 nt
Filed under: uncultured bacterium
Lineage: Bacteria
Description: partial 16S ribosomal RNA
Rfam family: Bacterial small subunit ribosomal RNA
Source: RNAcentral